GUGUCCGCUUCAGCAGCACAUAUACUAAAAUUGAAAUGAUACAGAGAAAUUGGCACAGCCCCUAUGCAAGGAUGACAUACACAUUUGUGAAGCCUUCUAUAUUUUC
This 106-nucleotide small nuclear RNA is filed under the name Cebus imitator (Panamanian white-faced capuchin). Lineage: Eukaryota; Metazoa; Chordata; Mammalia; Primates; Cebidae. The record is from RNAcentral.